CCUACGGGUGGCAGCAGUGGGGGAUAUUGCACAAUGGGGGAAACCCUGAUGCAGCGACGCCGCGUGGGUGAAGAAGCGCCUCGGCGCGUAAAGCCCUGUCAGCAGGGAAGAAAAUGACGGUCCCUGAAGAAGAAGCCCCGGCUAACUACGUGCCAACAGCCGCGGUAAUACGUAGGGGGCAAGCGUUAUCCGGAUUUACUGGGUGUAAAGGGGGCGCAAACGGCGAUGCAAGCCAGGAGUGAAAGCCCGGGGCCAAACCCCGGGACUGCUCUUGGAACUGCGUGGCGAGAGUGCAGGAGGGGCAGGCGGAAUUCCUGGUGUAGCGGUGAAAUGCGUAGAUAGCAGGAGGAACACCGGUGGCGAAGGCGGCCUGCUGGACUGCAACUGACGUUGAGGCCCGAAAGCGUGGGGAGCAAACAGGAUUAGAUACCCCGGUAGUC
This 440-nucleotide ribosomal RNA is filed under the name uncultured bacterium. Its description in RNAcentral is "partial 16S ribosomal RNA". It matches the Rfam family "Bacterial small subunit ribosomal RNA", at positions 338 to 795 of the family's 1533-position model. The record is from RNAcentral.